Molecule: ribosomal RNA, 398 nt
Filed under: uncultured bacterium
Lineage: Bacteria
Description: partial 16S ribosomal RNA
Rfam family: Bacterial small subunit ribosomal RNA
Source: RNAcentral
AUACGUAGGGUGCGAGCGUUGUCCGGAAUUACUGGGCGUAAAGAGCUCGUAGGUGGUUUGUCGCGUCGUCUGUGAAAUUCCGGGGCUUAACUCCGGGCGUGCAGGCGAUACGGGCAUAACUUGAGAACUGUAGGGGAGACUGGAAUUCCUGGUGUAGCGGUGAAAUGCGCAGAUAUCAGGAGGAACACCGGUGGCGAAGGCGGGUCUCUGGGCAGUAACUGACGCUGAGGAGCGAAAGCAUGGGUAGCGAACAGGAUUAGAUACCCUGGUAGUCCAUGCCGUAAACGGUGGGCGCUAGGUGUAGGGGUCUUCCACGACUUCUGUGCCGUAGCUAACGCAUUAAGCGCCCCGCCUGGGGAGUACGGCCGCAAGGCUAAAACUCAAAUGAAUUGACGGGG